ACCCACACACUCAUCCACCUCCAGAGAUCUGAUCAUGGCUGAUACAUUCACUGUUCAACUUCAGAGACCUUCUUUCUUCUCCCUAUCUAAGGGAAGGAAGCUUAGCAACUACGGCCAGCCAUGCUCUUAAUGCUCUUCUGAAUAAAGGCCCAGCCACACCCUUCGUGAAAACGCCACACAGAAAAGAGAA
Long non-coding RNA from Telopea speciosissima, 190 nucleotides. RefSeq lists it as uncharacterized. The transcript is spliced from 3 exons. The record is from RefSeq and is a predicted model, not a curated record. Lineage: Eukaryota; Viridiplantae; Streptophyta; Magnoliopsida; Proteales; Proteaceae.